UGCCCAGCCACUGGGGCCGUGUCGAGUGGUGGCACUGCCAGCCCUGCAGUGGGAUGUAGCCUGGAAAGUGCACAGAGGUGAGGCAAGGGAUUUAAAGGGACCAACCAAGGGAGGUGAAGAAAGAAGGAAGAAGGGAACUGAGGCAGCAGCCAAGCAGCACCAAGUUCCUGUGUCAGCAGGGAAUAACUCCUGUCAGCAGCAAGGUCCCGACUGAAGUGGCAGCUGCAGUUGUUCCUGUGGUGUGGGCCAGUGGAAUUCCAAGAAAAAUGACAAGGACAGAACCUGUAAGAAUUACCCCUAAGCCAGAGUCUCUCCUGGUAAGGCAAACCCAGUAUCCUUUAAAAUUAGGAAGCCAAGCUGGAUUGGUUCUAGUAACAGCUAAAUUUGCUAAUCAUGGUUUGAUAGUAGAAUGGGAAUGCAAGGACCUGUAAAGAAAGGAAAUGGGAAAGCUGAUUGAUUUCUGGGAGCAGGGGCUGGCAGACAGUGGCACUGGAUGUUUGGUUGUGGUUGGGAAUGAGCAGCUUGACCUCCCCAGGGUUGUCUGCUGGGGGUGGGUUUGGGUCCUGUGUGGCCACAGGUCUGUGCAGCAGCUGGAGCCUGGUCAGGUUUGGGGGCUGUGGUGUGCCAGGCUCCUGAGUUUGUUGUGCCUGUUUCCUUUGAGUGUCCCAGUGUCCCUGCUUGGCUGUUUGUUGCCCUGCAGGCAGAAGAGCCCCGGCCUGAGCUGGCUGAGUGUUGGUGUGACCCACAGUGGGUGUCCCCUGCCCUCGGGACAGUCCCCAGAGCUCCCUUUGGCAUCCCCUGGUGAAGGGUGGGAGCUGCCCAGAGCCAGCAGCAUCCAGCUGGAGGAUCCCGGAGGAUGCAGCUCUGCUUUGCUGGGAGCUUGUGCAGGAGAUGGAAUUCCAGUGCUACAGUGUAGAUGGGUGGUGGUGCUCCGAAAAGGAGCCUUUGUACCUUCAGGGCAGGUUCUGGUGCCCCUGGAGCUGUUGGGAGAAGCGGAGGGUUGGCAGUGAGAGGCCUGGAAUGAUGUUGCUGUAGCACAGAAGAAAUGAGCAGUGAUGGUACAACUGGCUGUUUUCUCUUGAAUGUGACUGUAAGAGCUCCAGGAGUGCAAGGUGUGUGUUCCAGUCCCCAGCAUUUGGUUUGCACAUGUCCUGCUCAGACACAGGUCCUACUUCCUCAGUCCUUAACGCAAUAGAGGGAGAAUUAAGGACUGGCAGUGUUAAGGUGAUUGGUGUGACAGGGGUUAAACUGGGAAAACAUUGGGGAAUUCCUCACUUGGUGUCUGCCAAACUCACCCAAACCUGUGCUAGGAAGGGAUUGAGUGCAAGAGUUGAGGCAGAAAUGGAAUUGAAAACUGGGGAUAUUGAAACUGUAAUUGCUGAAACUAAAUGUGUCCAAGCAGCUGCUCUUGUUGUGCAGGGAAUAACUCUU
RNA transcript from Chiroxiphia lanceolata (lance-tailed manakin), 1431 nucleotides. RefSeq lists it as uncharacterized. NCBI's taxonomy places the organism in Eukaryota, Metazoa, Chordata, Aves, Passeriformes, Pipridae. The transcript has 4 exons. The record is from RefSeq and is a predicted model, not a curated record.